CCGCCAGACUCCUACGGGAGGCAGCAGUGGGGAAUUUUGCGCAAUGGGGGAAACCCUGACGCAGCAACGCCGCGUGCGGGACGAAGGCCCUCGGGUCGUAAACCGCUUUCAGCAGGGAAGACCACGACGGUACCUGCAGAAGAAGCCCCGGCUAACUACGUGCCAGCAGCCGCGGUAAUACGUAGGGGGCGAGCGUUAUCCGGAUUCACUGGGUGUAAAGGGAGCGUAGACGGCCAUGCAAGCCAGGGGUGAAAGCCCGGGGCCCAACCCCGGGACUGCCCUUGGAACUGCAUGGCUGGAGUGCGGGAGGGGCAGGCGGAAUUCCUGGUGUAGCGGUGAAAUGCGUAGAUAUCAGGAGGAACACCGGCGGCGAAGGCGGCCUGCUGGACCGCGACUGACGUUGAGGCUCGAAAGCGUGGGGAGCGAACAGGAUUAGAUACCCCAGUAG
This 448-nucleotide ribosomal RNA is filed under the name uncultured bacterium. RNAcentral describes it as "bacterial SSU rRNA". It matches the Rfam family "Bacterial small subunit ribosomal RNA", at positions 328 to 793 of the family's 1533-position model. The record is from RNAcentral.